GUUCUGGGCUUGCCUGGGAGAAGGAGCUGUUGCAGUCUUGCACGAUCAAAAUAGGGCCUUUAGGUUUGAAGGAUGAGGUUGAGCCCAUAUUUUGACUCCAAAUGUCGGGGGAGGGGAGAAGAAGUCGACAGAUCCAAACAAGGAACAUUUGAAUGAAAUGCAGAUAACUCUUUAGAAAACUUUUGUAGGAAAAGCGCCUCGUGUGAUCUGGAACAAAGACGUUUUAUAAUCAGAUUUAUCAAGCUGCGAAGAGGGAGUUUUAGUGAACGGAAGCAGCAGCAUUCUGUCACCAGGAAAUACUCCUUUAUCCAGAAUUGGUAAGUGAAAAGUGGCAUUGCUCCCUAAUAGAUAUCAUAUGCGUGUGUGGGAAUUGAAAAAUUGUUCACAGACCCCUAACAACUGUGUUGAACAGAGAACACAUAAACAGUGAGGAGUUCUAAAAAAGAGCAGCACGAGAAUACCGCAUAAAGACUGAGAAGAAGCCAGGUAAUUAACAAAAAUGAGCUGAGUGCUAUCAGUUUAGCUAAACAUAUGUAAUACAGCUAGAUUUGGUUGUUUUAUUUUUUCUUGUUAGUGGAGGAGAAACAUAAAAUCAGAAUGGGCUGUUUAGUAGAAUUGCGACAUUAACUUUCCAUGGAUGUAGAUUUCCAUUUAGUCUGAAUAGCAUGUAUGAAAUUUGAAGGGAUGCUUUCAGAAUUAGUCUACUUGCCCUCCUUUCCUUUCCUCUGCAUUAAGAUGUCAAGUAUUUAGUUAGAACCUUACAAGAUGAAAGUUGUACAAAAUGAAAGUUCAAGUAAUGCGUCGGAAACACCUCUCCUGAUUGGGAAGGGUAGAUUACAAUGGCAAUAGAUUUUUGUUUUUUGUUUCUUACAUUUGUGUCACGAAUUUUAAGUUUGUUCUAUUGGAUUACAUUAGUACAGCAAAAGGGGGGUUAUUUCUAUCUAUAUGGUUCAUGACAUUUUGAGAGGUCGUGAUUAGUAGUUCUUACUGGUUUCGUAUGCGUGUUCCUGCCUGUUGAAUUCAGUUUUCUAAUCUUGAAUCUGAGCUGCCUUUAUGUUAAAGGGUUCUAGAAAAAGACAAUAAAGCUUUGAAUACCCGUGUUAUAUACAACAGGUUCCUGUUCAUGAUGUAUAAGGUAACGCAAUUUUAUUUUAGGCAUGAAUGUCUAAUUUCUUGAUUUGGCUUCUUAAGAAUAUACUGAAAAGGUUGAAUAGAAUAAGAAAAAGAACAUUAGAAAAGAAUGGUGGGUGACUGCCUGAUUUUACUAGUUUCUUAUUGGUCAAUAGAAGUAAUCAUGUGAUGUCUACUUAUAGAAGCAAAUGGAAAAAAUUUUUCUUCUUUAACUGCUAACAAGUAUAUAGGCAAUUUUAGCAAUCUUCAUUUAUUAAUUUGAAUAUAUAAUUAUAACUGUUAUUAACAGAAUAAGUUUUGGGUAAUAUAGGAAAUAAUAAUUAUUUCUUUCUUUUUAAGCCAAAUUGGAAGUUGAAUCUACUUUUGGUUCCUGUUCUGUUACUUUCAAAAUCUUAAAAUCCUUAACUCAAAAGGGAAAAUGUAUAAUAAAACAGGAUAGCAGUGCUGAAAUUUCUCUCUCUUAGCAGUGGAGUGGGAUGAGGGUGGGGGAGGGAGAUGAAUCUAGUGAGAUAUAUUAAUUGUUUUUUCCCCCUCUUGUAUACUUGGAUAACUUUUGAGAUCAGUUUUCUCAGACUAGCAGCUCUCAAGACUUUUGCAUAAGUAUUUAUUCUUAAAGAAAUAGAAAGACAAGAUAAGCACGGCUCUUAAGGGCAGGUCCUCCAAUAAGUCAGGAAACGGGUGAUCCAAACUUGUGAACAUGACAAGUCAAUUUGACUUAAUUAAGGAAUGGCAUUAGUUUUCUUGAAGCACAUGAAUUUAUAGGUUUUUAGAGUCUUGAAGACAGAAAAAUGGCAACAAAGCAUUAAGGUAUUUACAGAUAAUUUAUAUUCAACUGCUAGCUUAUGUUUUCAACUCUGUAUUUCAUGUAAGUAAAUACUUGGGGAGAACAUGAUGAUUUAAUAAUCUGGAUAAAUACUGCCGUGCCUGUUGGAAAAAAGCCUCUAAUUUUUAGGUUUUCCUCAUCCAUUUAAAAUCCAUUGUUUUGAAUGACAAAAUGUGAUAGAAACAGGUUGGAACAGUAAAUGCUAGAAAGUAUAUCCCAGAAGAAUUAACUGAGAACUUCAUGUUUUCAAUUCUAUUUGCCGUUCUCUGUUCUCAAUUUGUUAAUUUUUAAAAGUACAUCGAAAGUGAGUAGCAUUGCUUGCUCUGAAUUCUCCUCUGGGGUCAUUGAGAGUAUUCACAUUUUCGUAUACCCUGUUAAAAGAUAUUAAUGCCAUGCAUAUGCCUUUGUCUUUGUGGGUGUGUAAAACAACAAACUGAAGGGAUCUGGUCAAGAGACAGACCUCAAAAUAAUUUCUCUGAAAUAGUGUUUGAAUUUGCAUGUUCGGGAACGUAAAUGCUUUCCCUUUGGGCUUGUUUCUUAAGUUUUUGGUGUAGUAUACAGUUUUACCCAAUUAAAUUUUUCUUUUGAGGUCUGUAUAUGUAUGGGUGUCUAUAUUUGAUUUGAAGGGGGAGUUUUAAUCAUUAGUGAAACAAGUGGCUGUUUGUUAGAACCCAGAUAAGCCUCAUAGUGUUGUUCCUAUGACAACUGAGUAGUUGGGUGUUGAAAUGUAGCUUUAAGUUCUUGGUUUGGAAAUGUCAUUCAGACCUCCCACUAUAGUCUCAUUGAGUAGGAGGAUAAUGAGAAGGGGAAAAACCAUGAAGCAACAUAAGUAUCUCCGUUCGUUUCAUGUCUUCCUGACUUGUCUUUGUGUACAGGAUCGCCAUGGGAGUGGUAAACAUAGGUCUUGAACAAAGCAAUACUUCAAUUAAAAAAAUACAUGGAAAGGGUCAGAAAAGUUGGGGAAGAUAAAUAACAACACAUGGGGGCAAUAAAGAGGCAAGAGAAAUAGGCUUCCAUGGGUUUCUGCAAAUCCUUUAUCCAGUGCUGACCAGCAGUGAGAACAUCUUGAACCAGUUAUUGUAUAGCUCUUCAAGAGCUGUGAAUUUCCUUAAAAUGCAAUGUGGAGAAAAUUCCUUUGGUAGCAGGAUGGUUUACCACUUUGGCAUAACGUUUAUUCAUCUCCCCCAGGCAGACUACAGAGGAUACUGUGUUCUUUUAAGGCACAUGUUUUUAAACCAGUUGUUCAUUUGUCAUUUAAUAGCUUUUGUCUUUUUUCUAUGGGAAAGACAAGGUUGUACUAUUAAAAUAGUGAUAAAAUUUAAGUAUUUUAUUCUAUAUUCAAAAAGUGCUUUUGAAAAGUACUUAGAAAAAGAUUGUUUGAGACCUGUUGUUUGUGGAAAUGUCUGUCAAUGGAGAAUCUAUGGAGCACUGUAUUUGAGGAGAGGGAUUGUUCAGACUAAUAUUUGGCAUAGCUUAAUUAUGCAGUUGUUGAUUUUCCAUGUCUGAAGGUCUUCCUAUUUCCUACUCCUAAAUAGUUUUAACUAUUUAUUUGGUUGCUAGAACCUCCUGAAGUUAGAAAGAAAAAGAUUUCAGUGGGGUUAGUCUCUUAAUAAAUAUAUGCCCACCAUCUCUUCUGUAAUCCAAAAAGCUCUGAAAAUCAAAAGAUUUUCAUGUAACAAAUUUGGCAGCAAAUCCUGACCUGAACUGAUGUGAAGCUAAUGAUAGUCUUUGUUUAGCUCGCUCAGAAUGAAUCUUUGUAUGUUUUACUGUAGAAGUAUUAAUGUGUUUGAUCACGGAGUAUUGUUCCAGACUCCCCUAGAGGUUUAUAUACUAUAUUGAAUAGUCAACCUAUUACCUUUAUAAAAUAAUAAUAAUAAUCAAUCUGAGUGUCAGGUAAGCAUUUGUGGACCCAUAAUUACUGACAUACAUUGAGUUCAUAUUAUAUGCCGGGUACCAUUCUAAAUGAAUCACUGGCAUCUAAGAACAGUGUCUGGCACAUAGUAGGUACUUAGUAGACACGUUUUGGUAGGAACUGCUUUACACUUAUUAAAUUCUUUAACUCACAAAAACAGUAUACAGGAAGUAGCGGAGCCAAGAUUUGAAAGCAGACAGUCUAGCUCCAAUCUGCUCUUAAUGAUUCUGAUGCAGGUACAAGAGAGGACUGGAGAUGUGGCACUGGACUUCUUAACUGAGUCAGAGGGGGUGUUUGAGUGAUUUACUUUAUUCAUAGUCACCCUAUACCUCCUACGAUCAAGAGCUGGUGGUAUCACCACUAUGGUCAUUAGCCGGGGCUGUGGUUGAAUGCUUAUAACAGGUUCUCCUGGGUGGGAGUGUAGGAAUUCCAGGGGUCUGAACUCUCCUCACAGGCUUCCCAAGGUGAUCUCCAUCAGUAAAUCAGCCCGACUUUUUCAUCUUGAAAAAUUAAGACAUAGGAAAUAACUCUUUCCUUAACCCUAAGGAAGUUUCCUUGAACAGUGGGAAAAACGUUUUUGUAGACAUUCCUUAGACCCCUUACCCAGCAGGAGGUGUGGAAUCAAUAAAGAGGGCAUGGGUCACCUCCAAGGUUGUGAGCUCCCUGGCUUGGGAACUACACUGGGACACAGCAGAGCCUCUUGGCAGAAAUCAGGCAGCCCAUGGAGCUUCAGCUGCAUGACUCUUUGAAUUCACAAAAGGAUACCUUUAACAGUACUUCUCAAAAAAUGUAUAUAAGGCAUGUCUCAAGUCCCUAUAUGUUUCUAGGGAUAAAAAAAUUCAUUUCAAACUGAUGGCAACCUCCCCAUUCUAUUCCCCAGCUUUCUAUCCUUCUUCCUGCUUAAUUUUUCUUCUUAGCACUUGCCUCUGUCUGACAUAUUGUAUGUCUUACUUAUUUAUUCAUUUGACAUUUUAAUUAGACACUAGCAGUAUUGUUUUCUUUGAAUACAUUUAAAGGUCCUAGAUUUAUUUCUUUUUGAUGCUCAUCUUCUAACUCAUUCCCUCCUAUCAAUCUCAGACUGCUGUAAAUAAAUGAUUUUUUGCCUUUUUUUUUUUUUUUUACUAUUAGUUAUCAUAUUUAUUUUUCUUAAACAAGCUGUACUGGUUAUACAGUCUGAAUUUGGAGAAUAGACGUCUUCAUUCAGGAGGGGAAAUUGAGCCAAGUUUGAAUAUAAUCAUUGGGUAACAAAUCCAGAAGAUUAAGUUACUAAGGAGAACAUGCAAAGUAAACACUUGCAUUUUAUGAACUACCUUCAAUUUAAAUAGACAACUGGGUAACUGUAUAUGACAUGUUUUGGGAGUAAGACCUGUUAAACCUACCUACUUCCUACUGUUUUCAUUUGAAAAAUAAAUCAAUUAUUAAACAGUUAUUCUACACAUUAAAGACUGUAAGUGAUUUAACCUUGAAUAUUUCCUGACUCAAGUUCUUAAAAUCCUCAACUCUAACCUCUUGUUUUUCAACCCCAUAUUUAUUCUAGUUUAUUCUUUCCAACAUAUUUAGGGCAAUCUAAAACAUAAAGUAAAAAAACCCCCACAUAUAUUAUUAACUAUAAACAAUGUGGUUAUGUAAAUGCAUCAUUUUAGUUGAUCUUUUUUCUUUAGCCUAGUUCUUUUUUUCUUUUCUUUUCUCUCUCUUUUUUUUUUUUUUUUUUUUUUUUUUGAGACAGAGUCUUGCACUGUCACCCGGCCUGGAGUGCAAUGGUGUGACCUUGGCUCACUGAAACCUCCACCUCCUGGGUUCACGUGAUUCUCCUGCCUCAGCCUCCCGAGUAGCUGGGAUUACAGGCACACACUGCCACGCCCGGCUAAUUUUUUUUUAUUUUUUAUUUAUUUAUUUUUUAUUUUUAGUAGAGACGGGGUUUCACUAUGUUGGCCAGGCUGGUCUUGAACUCCUGACCUUGUGAUCUGCCCGCCUCAGCCUCCCAAAGUGCUAGGAUUACAGGUGUGAGCCACCGCGCCUGGCCUAGACUAAUUCUUAAAGGAACAGAUUAGAUACAUACAAAAGUUGAAUUUAGUAUGCUUUUGUAAGUUAAUAUAAUGAUUGGGACAUUUUGUUUUCUUAGCUAUGCUUUAUAACAAAAUAGUUCUAGUUACUUUCUUUUAAAUGGUUACUAAAGUAAUAACUUGCUUUUUAAAAACAUAGUAUAACUAUUUAAGGUAGACUAUGAAGAGUAGGCUGAGGUUUCAUUUUAAAUUAUCUCCUCUUUCUGCCAUGGAAGAGUUUAAUUCCCCUGAUGUGCUUAUGGUAUUGAAAGCCCAUUGUUGGUGUUGGUAUUGAAAGAAAGCUUAGUUUUUCUGCGUUUCCUAAAAGGAGAGGGAAGAAAGAUUUUUAAAAGUGAAAAUCCAUUGAUUUUUUUUUUUCUUGAUUAGGAUUUGUAUAAUAUAUCUGAAGUGAGACUAGAGUUCUUAAAGUUGAGAGAAACAGUAAAUAUGUACACGCCCGGCAAAACUUUGCAGGGAACAUUCAGAGUUCGGAUUACCUGAAAAAAAUCUUGAAAGCUUCAGACAUUUUCCAGAGAGUGUUAGUGCGUGAAAGUGGUACCCAUGACCCCAAGAGGGUGUCCAUUCACAGCCUCCAUUGAAGUAGUUUACUCCCUAAGAGGCCCAGGCUUUGGAAAUAAGUAGAUUUGUGCUUUAAGCUCCCUUUGCCCCUUGCUAGCUGAGUAAGCUACUCCGCUAUUUCCCUGAGCCCCAGAGUGUAGAGCAUCAGAAGUAGUGCACAGGUUUGUUGUGUGAGAUAACACAUGUAAAGCACAUGCUGUGGGACCUGGAGUAAUGGUGCUUAACACACUUGCAUUCCCUUCCAAAAUCCCUUUAGGAACAGACUUCUUCAGUUUAGUCCUAAAGCCUGUAGAUCCAUGCUAAGUGAUAUGACUUUUUUUCACAUCAGAUUAAGCAAAACACUGAUGAUGGUGACUGUCGCUUAUUGUGCAGUUACCAUGUUCUGGACAGGCACUGUUGUAAGGGCUCUACCUGCAUCGACCCAUUUUUCCUCAUGACAAACUAUUGGUGCAAUUAUCAUGCCCAUUUCAUAGAUGAACACACAGAGGCACAGAGAGGUAAAGGAACUUACUUAGGGCCACUCAUCUGUCAUGGAACCAGAAUCUAAAUCCAAAUAGGCUGUUGCCAGUACAGAUGGUAAGUACAUGUACUUCUGGCAGGAAAGCAGAAUAAAAGUUGACUGAACCUGAAAGUCUCGGAAAUGGUCUUCUCAUUUCUAUUCUGUAAAGUGUCACGUCUUCUAGGCCUACCUCUGUCAAUAUUGAAAUACAAAAUUAACUUUUUCUGCUUUUUAUUUCACAAAUCAACGGGAACAGUCUUAGUCAUUUGUGUUUUAUGAGUUUUAAUUAGGCCACUGCAGUCCAGGAGGGGAAUUCCUUGUUUUCAGUUGAUCUCAUAUACUAACAAGUUUAAUCAUGUAACUUCCCCUAUUUUUUUCUCUAAUGUUUUCACUUGAAAGUGGGGGUGGGAGGGAGAAGUAUGUUAGCAUUUGAGUCCUAGGGAUGCACUUACAUCAACCUUUCUGGAAAUUCCUUCUUGCUGGUAUAGAACUAAUCCAUAGAAAAAUGAAAUGUGUAAGAAUCUGUAUUUACUAAUAUUUUUCUUCUUUAUCUCCAUCUAGUUCUGGAUAUUUUCUGGAGGAUGGGGUAAAACUUCUAGAUAAAGAAGUACAGGAAGCCAUCUAUGUGCAUAAAACCUUAUGUUUGGGUGUGGACUUAAUUUUCAGAAUAUGGGAAAGGGGUUUCACAUUGAGAAUUUCCUCUUUCUGAUGUAGAUUGAGAAUUUUGACUUAGAAGAUGAGGGCAUGUUAUCCUAGCCCGUGGGUUCAGAGUGCUUGGAAGUCUCUUUAAAAAAAAAAAAAAAUCCCCUGGCCUUGGACUGAGCCUGCUCUUGGAGGAUUUAUUAAUCAUGCCGGCCUUCAUUCUUUCCUUUGUUUGUUCAUUCCUUCAUUUGUCCAUACUCUCGCAUAAGUCAUUCAACAUCUACCUGCAAAUAGGUGAAAGAAAGGAUGGGAGUGAGAGUCCAUCAGGGGACGGGAGAGGAGAAGCAAUAAACUCACUCUAUGUUCCUUUCACCUCACUGACUGCAUCUUGUAUCUGAUUGUUUGUCCCUUUGGAGACAACGUAUAUUUCACAGACAGACACUCACAACACUCAUGAAGGUCUUUAAGCAUCUUCCUUUGGGAGCUGCAUUUCUUUUUUUAAAGUGAGAGGAGAAAAUGCUUGUGAGGGAAAAACAGUGCAGAGAAAUGGUUUUUCUUUCUUUCUUUUUAAUGUUGGCGGAAGAAGGGUUCAUAGUAGGGAACGUAUCAGUAAAUAUAAUCUAAGAGCACUCAUGCUUUCAAAUAAUUUCCUUGUUUAAAGAUAUUAAGUGCAGUAGCGUUUACAAUUAAUGAUCACAACCAGUUACAGAUUGCUUUGUUCUUUCUCUACUCCUGCUGCUUCACCUGCCUACGCUUAUAAUAAAAGAACAUUAAGAGACAACAAAGGCCAUCACAAAGAUGUCUUCAAAAAUAAUUUUAAAAUAGAAUUUUAAUUAAUUUAAAGGUAAGAAGUGUUGCCAUGCCCUCAAUCAAAUUUAUUAUGACUUUUUGAAAAUAUCUCUAAGUAAAUAUAUAGAAAAUGAGGAAUGAACAUAGGGGAGGGCUUUUGGAAUUUAUACUACUAUUCUUUCAAAAAAUAUUACUCGUCUCCAUGUUGCAGUUAGGAAUACGCUUCCUUAAGACAGAGUCAUUAUCUUUACUUGUUAUUUAAAUCUUGAUAUCACCUCCUAUAGUUUUUGAAAGACAUCACUCUUCAAGUUGUCUUCAAUGGCACAAACUAUACCUGUGCAUUUUCUGAAACAAGUUUGACCAUACCAGCAAAGGCAAUGAAAAUGCUUUGUCUUUCAGCAUGAAAUGUGAAGUCUACAUUAUUAGUGGGUAUAUAUGGCCCAAGGGAAGAAAAUGUUGAAGUAGAUUUAAAAACAAAAACAAAAUCACUCACACUCUAAAAGAAUGUCUCAGUAUUUCAAGGCUCUUCUCUCUCUCUGUGUUAAAACCAAUAAGGAGGCCUCAGGACAAGUUAGGUUGAUAAUGACAGUGAAUAUCUACCUUUCUCCCCAUUCCGUUUGACAUCCAUACUCCAAAAGACCUUCCCUUAUUUGCUAUGCAUGGGUAGCAGGGAGAUUAUAGAGAAACUGUUCUUUUUCCUGCUUUCUUUUUUUACUGCUGGGGGAGUGAUCACUUUCCUACAGCUCUUGUCCACCUGGCCCUUGAGGCGUUUGGAGUUUUGGUAAGGUGUUAACAAAAAUUGUCUCAGGUGCCAACUAAAUUUCAUAAGCUUAUAGCAGCACAACAGACUAAGACACCACAUGGGAAAUGUACAUUUUACAAAAAUAUAUUAUACAUCUACCAUGUCUACCAUGUGCCUUAGAGAGUUCUGGGUCUGGUAAUACAGCAGUGAAUAAAGUCCCCGCUCACAUGGAGCGGGUAGGCUGAUGGUGAUGGAACUCAUAAGUAUACGGCAGGUGUUAGUAAACACUGCGGAGAAAAAUAAAGCUGUGUCAGAGAGAGAGUACCUGGGGAUCAGGGGUAGAGCGACGUUAACCAGGGCUAAUAGGAAGGCCUCUUUGAUGUUAUUAGGCCAGUGAGGAAUCAGCUGUGGGAGUGUCUGGAGGAAGAGGAUUCCAGGCAGAGAAAAUAAAAAAGUAACUGCAGUAGAGACGGGAGCAGGCUUUGUGUGUCCAAGAGACACAUCAUGGCAGAUCAGGUAGGACUCUGUUGGCCACAGUAAGAAGCUGUUUGGAAGGUAGGAAAUGAUAACUAGAGAGAGUGAAGAUGGUAUUCUGAGAGUCUAUGUGAUUUAUUGUAGGGAUCCCGGAGAGUCGAGCCCCUUGUGCCUCAUAACUGGAGUGUUUACAAGCCGUGUAAGGCCUUCUUGCAGUAAAAUGCUACUUUUGUAAUUUAAAUUAUUAUGCUAUGAAAACCUUAGCAAAGAUAGAUAAAGUUGAACUAUUUGAAGCACAAUUACAGCUAAAAAGCGCAAAGUGGGCAAUUCUUCCUAUCACAUCUACUCCUCAGAGAGAUGUGGGGUACCUGAAUGUCUAACUGUGGAAUGUUUUGAUUUGAUUUAAAUUUGCCAAAAACUCAUCUUCCAUAAGGCAUAUCUUUGCUGAUUUUUGCACUCAGUAACAAGCAGUUUAGAAUUUUGAACUGAAGGGAUUUUAAAUCCAUGUUUAAAGUGCUUUCAUUUUAAAAUAAUUCUUAGUUUUAUGUUCAGUCAGAUGAUAAGCUCCUUUUUAAAAUUCUGUAUGAAAACUUACUGUUUGGUACAGGUUAAGAAGUCUUGUUAUACAGUACUUAUUUUAUUGGAGGUACAAAGAGAGUGUGGAAAAAUAAAGGCAAUUGGCCAGGUGGGAAGGGUAAAAUUGUUUUAUGUACCUUUUCUCUUGUAAAGUUGUGUUAAAAACAUUUUUGUAAUUUCUUAAAGGUAGAGUUGAUUGCCAUAAUUUGAUUGCAGCCCCCUGUCAUUACUUCACUAUUAUACUCGGAUACUAAAUGCCCCUUACUAAAUCUAAGGAAAUGGGCAAGUUCUGUCAUCUGGGAGUUUACAUGUUAAGAGACAUUGCACGGGUGAGAACAGACAUAAAAUGUAUAUGUAAUUAUAUCGACAACAUACAGGGCUUAGAAAGGGGCUUGAUAGCCUUUUAUAGGUGUCGUCCAGGUUUAUCUUACUUGAAAUACUGCCUGAGACUCUAUACCUAAUUCUUAUCACAUAGCCUUUCUAUUAGUCAAUGAUAGAUUUGGGUUGGGUUAACCCUCAUAUUCUUUUAGCAAGGGACCCACCUGCAGAAAAGAGUUAUUAUUGGUUUUGUCAUUUAUAGUUUAGUUCAACAAGACCGGAUUUCCUCACCGCCUUUGGCUGAAACUGACUGACUAAAUCAGUUUCACUUGUGGGGUAGAGAAAUGAGUAAUUUGGGAACAUAGAGUGUUGUGUGGAGGAGAGCUUAGUUUGCUCCUCUUCAUCCUCCCCUUAGGUAAGAAGUCUGCAUUGAGAGAGGGAGAAAGAUUUGGGACAUCAUGGGGAAACUGACCCCCUUGGGUGAGACACAUUGGGAAUUAAGAGAAAGAUGUAAAAAUGGACCAGGAGAGGAUGUACAGAAGCCCCAGGGGAGCCAGAGAAUUUCUGGUCCUAAGCUCAAGUGUCAGCCUCAGUUCUGCCUAGCAUCUUGGACAUGCUGUCCCUGCUGGCUUAUCUCCUGUAAGACAAGGGGCAUACUCCUGACUUACUGAGCAUCCCAUCUCAGAGGAGCUGGGAGUACAAGGAAUUCAGGAAUGGACUUUCAAGACAACAUCUAACCCGAGUCUUCUGCAGACAUUUCUCUACUGAAUCUACUUUCUAAGUGUAGAUUAGUGUCUAAGAGAUAGACAUUAAGUUUCUUUUUCUACCAGCCUCUGACCCCCUUGCUUUGAGGAAAACACAUGUGUUGUCCACGAAGUGGUGAGUUCUGUUUGGUCCUUCCUCUAAGAUUGGUCCGGGGCUUGAGCCGUUUUGCCCCAUGUGCUCUGGGAUUUCCCCCGGUUGUCCCCCCAUAUAAGUAGACAACUUGCUGUCUGUGUUCUAAGACCUUCAUAUUUUUCCCUUUGACUUGAGUCUGUUCUGGAACAAUUGUGUGGUGGCUGGGCACUGCAAAAUGAGUCAGUUCCUGCAGUUUGGUUACAAGUUCUCAAAAAGUAUUUCAGAAUGUGGAUGUGGUCAGCAGAGUCAUUUUCCAGACAUCUAAAAGGAAACCCACAUCAACUGUAACAAUUGAGCUACGAACCGAUGGCUCUACACAACCGAAUGGGGCCUGCUUUUCCUCAAAGCCUGUAGGUGCCCUCAAAUCUAGCAUUCUCUAUGGAUCGGAAAGGAGAAUUCAUCUUCAUGCUUGUAGAUCACAUUUUAUCUGUUACUGUUGACAUAAAAAAAUGCGAUAGAGGUUUUGGCCUUCAUCACCUUUUGAAUGUGGGCACAAAUUUGACAUAAGAAAUAAUUAGUAAAAUGGAAUCUAUGGGAUUAGAGUAUAAUUAGUGCAAAGUGUGAAAUGUGGCUUAGGGAUAGAUGCUUGGGUAAUUGAACUAAUGCACGAAGGAGAGGUUAAGAUGGUUUGGGUACCGAUAGAGUACAUCGAAAUAUGCUUAUUUGGUUUACUAAUAGUCUGAACCUGUGCAGACUUAGCAGCAAUACUGAUAAAAUAUCAUUAAAUCCUUUUCAAGCUUUAAAAGAAGUUCAGAUUUGUCAUAACAUUUGGAGAAUAUUUUCGCUCCACACAAGUUUUGGAAAAUAAUCUUUGUGAAUUUUUUUAUCCUCUUGGGUAUCAUGAAUUGUAAAAUUUUGUUGCAGUUCUCAGUUACCAGUCUUGCUCCACUCAUUAAAACUGAUGGCAUUUUCAAUAAUAAGAAAACAAAAUUUAAAAAUGGGUAAACGAUUUGAACAGACACUUCACCACAGAAGAUACGCAAAUGGCAGAUAAGCACAAGAAAAAAUCUUUUCAAUGUCAUUAGUGAAACACAAGUCAAAACCACAGUGAGGUACUGCUACACACCUAUCUGAAUGGCUAAAAUUUAAGAAGCCAGCCAUGCCAACUGUUGGUAAGGAUGUGUAGGAUUUAGAACUCUCAUGUAAAAUGAUACAAACAUGUCAAACAUACACCUAUCAUAUGAUUCAGCUGUUUCACUCCCAGAGAAAAGAAAGCAUGUGCUCACCUGAAGACUCGUACGUGAAUAUGCAUAGUAGUUUUAUUAGUAAUAGCUAAAAGCUGGAAACAAUCCUAAUGUCUAUCAACAGGUAAAUGGAUAAACAAAUUGUGGUGUAUCUGUAUGAUGGAUACUACUCAAUAAUAAGAAGGAAUGAACUAUUGAUACCUUCAAUAACAUGGAUGACCCUAACCCAUGAGAGUCAUAUCAUAUGAUUCCAUGUAUACAGAAUUCUGGAAAAUGUGAAAGCAGAUCAGUGGUUACCUGGGGUAGGGGAGAUGGGGGUGGCAAGAAAGGGGUUACAAAAAGGCCCGAGAAAACUUCCGGGCUGGUGGAUAAUUUCUGUCUUGUGUUGAUGGUUUCAUGGGUGUAUAUAUGUCAAAACUUAUCAAAUUAUACAAUUUGAAUAUGUGCAGUUUAUCGUAUGUCAGUUAUUCCUUAAUUCUUAAAAAAAACUUAAAAUAAGAAAUCAUUGUUAUAGUAGAUGGAAGGCUUUAAAAUGCCCUUAUUUGGCAAAAUCAGCAUUUCUUGGGGGGAGGGGGGAACCUGAUAGAGUUUUAAUGGUUUGAGGACAGAAAUACGACCUUCUAGUACAGAUGAGAAACCAAAGUUAAACAGUGAACAUAAUAAAUGGGAUCUCUUUAGUCCCUUUUGUUUACAAAGCAUUUGAACAAGUGGUUCAGGAAGUAUCUUUUCCAGCAUGGUGGUUCCAGCUGCCUGCCCGACUUCUAAGCAUUAGCACUUAAACAAACUUACUGUAGCAGUCUACCGUGCAAUGUGGCUAAGACAUCCAAAGUUGCUGUGUUCAGAUUGCAAAGAUAAGACAUGAAAAUCCCCACUUUCAGAUUCUAUCAUUGUUGGAGAAAUAAAUCUCUCAUAUUUACACAGUGCAUGAAAAUUUAUGUAUUUCCAGCUGUAUUGAGGUAUAAUUGACAAAUAAAUUGUAUAUAUUCACAGUGUGCAAUAUGAUGUUUUGGUAUAUGUAUACAUUGUGAAAGGAUUACCACAAUCAAGCUAAUUAGCGUAUGUAUCACCUCACAUAGUUAUCUUUUGUGGUGAGAACGUUUUAAGAUUUUUCUCUCUUAGCAAAUUUCAGGUAUAUGAUGUAGAAUUAUUAACUAUAAAGUAUUUUCAUAAACCUCAUCCUGUGAAAUCCUUUCAAUGGUCCUAUUACAGGUAGGAUCAGUAUUAUCCUCGUUUGCUUUGGCAGCAAACUGAGACCCAGAGAAGCCAAGCUACUUGGCCAGGAAUACAGAGCCCCCAUCUUCUUGCUCAGAAAUCACCAUUCUAACUACUACACUUUGCUUCUUCCUCAAACUAUUGUCAUUGAGUGUUUGGCUAAGACUCUUCACUCACCAAUUUGUCAGGUAGUUAUUAGAGUUCCUUUUUAAAAAUAUGAGAUGUUCAAGAUGAUAAUUCCCUCUAAUCCUCUGUUUCCCCGUUUCUAAAUGGGUAAUAACACAGCCACCAGCUUCCCAAGUUUGUGACCCUUACACGUGGAAGAGUCAUGAAAAGUGGGCAACUCUGUGUACCCAGUGGGUGUUGAUGUUACUGUGUGACUGCCCUCUUUGUUCCUGGGUUACUGAUCACACAGUACUGAGUGGCUUUGCAAACCCAACAGGGAGACAUAGCAGUUUAGUUAACAUUAGUUGCCCUAUAGCUUCCUUCAGAAUUGGAAAGUUGCACAAUAAGAAAUCCUAUGUACUGGAUUAUUUUAAAUUCUUCUUUAAAGGACACUAAACCAUCAUUAGUUGGGUCCCAGAGACUCACCAAACAGAGCUUAGAGGCAGAUACCAUUGAGGUUUACUUAGCUAACAAGAUUGACCCAUGUCUGGCAUCCUCCUUUUCUCCUUGGUUGUGUUGCCUGUACAUCUCUCCUCCUUAUUCUUCAUCAUUUUCGAUGGCCUUCUCUCUUCACUAGCCCUCUAACACACUUUAGAAAAUGUUUUGUUUUUUUUUUAAAUAACUAUUUGAUGUAUUGGCAAAAUGAGCAGUUUUCCUGAGAGUUCUCUGUCUGUCCCGAC
RNAcentral lists this long non-coding RNA (14665 nucleotides) under Homo sapiens (human). RNAcentral describes it as "non-protein coding lnc-CXorf36-46:5". Lineage: Eukaryota; Metazoa; Chordata; Mammalia; Primates; Hominidae. The record is from RNAcentral.